RNAcentral lists this ribosomal RNA (497 nucleotides) under uncultured bacterium. Its description in RNAcentral is "partial 16S ribosomal RNA". It matches the Rfam family "Bacterial small subunit ribosomal RNA", at positions 28 to 507 of the family's 1533-position model. The record is from RNAcentral.
GAUGAACGCUGGCGGCGUGCCUAAUACAUGCAAGUCGAGCGAACAGAUGAUGAGCUUGCUCCUCUGACGUUAGCGGCGGACGGGUGAGUAACACGUGGAUAACCUACCUAUAUUUCUGGGAUAACUUCGUGAAACCGGAUCUAAUACUGUCUAAUAUAUUGAACCGCAUGGUUCAAUAGUGAAUGACGGUUUUUCUGUCUCUUAUAGAUGGAUCCGCGUCGCAUUAGCUAGUUGGUAAGGUAACGCCUUACCAAGGCGACGAUGCGUAGCCGACCUGAGAGGGUGAUCGGCCACACUGGAACUGAGACACGGUCCAGACUCCUACGGGAGGGAGCAGUAGGGAAUAUUCGGCAAUGGGCGAAAGCCUGACGGAGCAACGCCGCGUGAGUGAUGAAGGUCUUCGGAUCGUAAAACUCUGUUAUUAGGGAAGAAAAAAUGUGUAAGUAAAUAUGCACGUAUUGACGGUACCUAAUCAGAAAGCAACGGCUAACUACGUG